CUGCCCGUAGCAUAAUGGAUAGUGUACCGGACUCCGACUCCGGUGGUGUGGGUUCAAUUCCCGUCGGGCGGACCA
RNAcentral lists this transfer RNA (75 nucleotides) under Clostridium sp. CAG:964. RNAcentral's name for it is "transfer RNA-Arg(CCG)". It matches the Rfam family "tRNA". Rfam says of the family: Transfer RNA (tRNA) molecules are approximately 80 nucleotides in length. Their secondary structure includes four short double-helical elements and three loops (D, anti-codon, and T loops). Lineage: Bacteria; Bacillati; Bacillota; Clostridia; Eubacteriales; Clostridiaceae. RNAcentral also lists the same sequence under 2 other names. The record is from RNAcentral.